Molecule: long non-coding RNA, 2302 nt
Filed under: Homo sapiens (human)
Lineage: Eukaryota; Metazoa; Chordata; Mammalia; Primates; Hominidae
Description: HSALNT0194760
Source: RNAcentral
GUUCCGGAUUAACGUUCCUCAAUAACUAAUGUUUCCCCCGGACCAACUUUCCGUUCAGAUCAACUUUCCGUCUGUGCCAACGUUCGCCGCGAUUACCGUUCUGCUGUGGUUAGCGUUCCCUCAUCCAUUGGGGUCGAGGUCUUGUAGGUCCAUUUGGGGCCUAUUGAAGAUUUUUUACGAAUCCAUGCAUUUUCUUAUUAAACCUUCAUUACGGGCCUGGAAAAUAGAUACUGUGUUUCUAUAGUACAAAUGCCAUCUUCUCAGGGAGCCCUUGCCCAGACAUCCUUUUCUAAAAUUGCAACCCUCCCUUUCCCUUAAUGUACAUUCUCCCUACCUUCGUUCUCUUCCAUUCCCCCCAUUCACUUUAGACUCAUCACCAUUUACCUUAUACAUUUAACGUACAUUUGAUGAUUUUCUGAGGACCUGCUCCGCCCUAGCAUGUAAAGUCCACGAGCACAGCGAUUUUGUUCUUGCUCUCUGCUCUGUCCCAGAGACUGGGGGAGAGAGAGACCCUCUCAUUUUGUUUUAUAUUGUUUUAUACUCAGUACCUGUUUUAAGAAGAAACAACAAGGAAGUGAAACCAAAGACGGGCAGCCCGGCGCCAGGCCCGAAACCAGGCCUGGGCCUGCCUGGCCUAAACCCAGUUUCAUGUGUGUGAAGAGACCACCAAACGUGUGUGAAGAGACCACCAAACAGGCUUUGUUUACUUCAGGCCAUCUGGAUGUAUACGUGCAAGUCACAGGGGAUGCGAUGGCUUGGCUUGGGCUCAGAGGCCUCACACCCAGUAGCUAAAAAUCAACUCAUAACUUAGAAACCGAUGUUAUUCAUAGAUUCCAGACAUUGUAUAGAAGAACGUUGUGAAACUCCCUGCCCUGUUCUGUUUCUCUCUUACCACUGGUGCAUGCAGCCCCUGUCACGUACCACCUACUUGCUCAAAUCAAUCACGACCCUUUCAUGUGAAAUCUUUAGUGCUGUGAGGAGCCCUUAAAAGGGACAGAAAUUGUGCAUUCGGGGAGCUCGGAUUUUAAGGCAGUAGCUUGCCGAUGCUGCCAGCUGAAUAAAGCCCUUCCUUCUACAACUCGGUGUCUGAGAGGUUUUGUCUGCGGCUCGUCCUGCUACAAGACUAGAAGAGUAGCAUAUUAUAUUCAGUAACUGUUUGCUGAAUACAUGAGGGAAUUGAGCUAAGUGUUUGGCCCAACACUGCACACACAAAGUGGCAGAGCUAGAAUUUGACCCAAGCAUAGUUUUGAAUCUGGAGGCUUUACCACCUCACACAUUGCCUCACCUCCUGAAGGUUUGAUUUGUAGUGGGAUUAGUAUCAUUCACCUCACAAUGGAUGUGCAAUACAAAUGUCAGAGGCGUGUGAACCAGAGCAACUCCAUCUUAAAUAGGAGCUGGGUAAAAUGAGGCUGAAACCUACUGGGCUGAAUUCCCAGACGGUUAAGGCAUUCUAAGUCACAGGAUGAUAUAGGAGGUCAGCACAAAAUACAGGUCAUAAAGACCUUGCUGAUAAAACAGGUUGCAGUAAAGGAGCCUGCUAUAAACCACCAAAACCAAAAUGGUGACAAGAGUGACCUCUGGUCGUCCUCACUGCUACACUCCCAGCAGCGCCAUGACAGUUUACAAAUGCCAUGGUAAUGUCAGGAAGUUACCCUAUAUGGUCUAAAAGGGGGAGGCAUGAAUAAUCCACCCCUCGUUUAGCGUAUCAUCAAGAAAUAAUCAUAAAAAUGCCUAACCAGCAGCCCUCGGGGGCUACUCUGUCUAUGGAGUAGCCAUUCUUUUAUUCCACUACUUUAUUAAUAAACUUGCUUUCACUUUGCACUGUGGACUUGCCCUAAUUCUUUCUUGCGCUAGAUCCAAGAACCCCCUCUUGGGGUCUGGAUCGGGACCCUUUUCCUGUAACGUAUUUCUGGCAACCACAGAAGGGACUAUAGUGCAGAAACCUGACCCAAUGGCUACCUUUGGGUAAGUGUUGGGGUCCGUUAACACUACCAGGUGUUCACCUGCAAAGGGAAGGUGUAAUCUGCCAUGUUAAAGACACUGUGCACCAACUUCUUCAUUUCUUUCUCCACGAUCUCCUCUUUCACUUCUGCUGUCCUUUUCACCUUGCUGUGCACAGAACUGAUGACAGGCUCUUUCCACUGGUACAGCUUGCCACUCACCAGAGCAAAGCUAAAUGGCAGGCACAGGAAAGCAUCAAUGGGAGGCAUAGCACAGUGGGGUGGGAGGCAGGCUCUGCAGGCCACUUCCGUUCCAAUCCUAGCUCGGCUGCAUGACUUGCUUCCGUGUGACUCGUUUUCCC